GAUGAACGCUGGCGGCGUGCCUAAUACAUGCAAGUCGAGCGAACGGACGAGAAGCUUGCUUUUCUGAUGUUGGCGGCGGACGGGUGAGUAACACGUGGAUCACCUACCUAUAAGACUGGGCUAACUUCGGGAACCCGGAGAUUAUACCGGAUAAUAUUUUGAACCGCAUGGUUCAACAGUGAAAGGCGGUCUUGCUGUCACUUAUAGAUGGAUCCGCGCUGCAUUAGCUAGUUGGUAAGGUGACGGCCUACCAAGGCAACGAUGCAUAGCCGACCUGAGGGGGGGAGCGGCCACACCGGAAUUGAGACACGGUCCAGACCCCGACGGGAGGCAGCAGUAGGGAAGCUUCCGCAAGGGGCGAAAGCCGGACGGUGCAACGCCGCGUGAGUGAUGAAGGUCUUCGGAUCGUAAUAGUCUGUUAUUAGGGAAGAAGAUAAGUGUAAGUAGCUGUGCACAUCGUGACGGUACCGAAUCAGAAAGCCACGGCUAACUACGUG
RNAcentral lists this ribosomal RNA (497 nucleotides) under uncultured bacterium. RNAcentral's name for it is "partial 16S ribosomal RNA". It matches the Rfam family "Bacterial small subunit ribosomal RNA", at positions 28 to 507 of the family's 1533-position model. The record is from RNAcentral.